RNAcentral lists this ribosomal RNA (1028 nucleotides) under Escherichia coli. RNAcentral describes it as "partial 23S ribosomal RNA". It matches the Rfam family "Bacterial large subunit ribosomal RNA", at positions 1 to 1070 of the family's 2925-position model. Lineage: Bacteria; Pseudomonadati; Pseudomonadota; Gammaproteobacteria; Enterobacterales; Enterobacteriaceae. The record is from RNAcentral.
GUUAAGCGACUAAGCGUACACGGUGGAUGCCCUGGCAGUCAGAGGCGAUGAAGGACGUGCUAAUCUGCGAUAAGCGUCGGUAAGGUGAUAUGAACCGUUAUAACCGGCGAUUUCCGAAUGGGGAAACCCAGUGUGUUUCGACACACUAUCAUUAACUGAAUCCAUAGGUUAAUGAGGCGAACCGGGGGAACUGAAACAUCUAAGUACCCCGAGGAAAAGAAAUCAACCGAGAUUCCCCCAGUAGCGGCGAGCGAACGGGGAGCAGCCCAGAGCCUGAAUCAGUGUGUGUGUUAGUGGAAGCGUCUGGAAAGGCGCGCGAUACAGGGUGACAGCCCCGUACACAAAAAUGCACAUGCUGUGAGCUCGAUGAGUAGGGCGGGACACGUGGUAUCCUGUCUGAAUAUGGGGGGACCAUCCUCCAAGGCUAAAUACUCCUGACUGACCGAUAGUGAACCAGUACCGUGAGGGAAAGGCGAAAAGAACCCCGGCGAGGGGAGUGAAAAAGAACCUGAAACCGUGUACGUACAAGCAGUGGGAGCACGCUUAGGCGUGUGACUGCGUACCUUUUGUAUAAUGGGUCAGCGACUUAUAUUCUGUAGCAAGGUUAACCGAAUAGGGGAGCCGAAGGGAAACCGAGUCUUAACUGGGCGUUAAGUUGCAGGGUAUAGACCCGAAACCCGGUGAUCUAGCCAUGGGCAGGUUGAAGGUUGGGUAACACUAACUGGAGGACCGAACCGACUAAUGUUGAAAAAUUAGCGGAUGACUUGUGGCUGGGGGUGAAAGGCCAAUCAAACCGGGAGAUAGCUGGUUCUCCCCGAAAGCUAUUUAGGUAGCGCCUCGUGAAUUCAUCUCCGGGGGUAGAGCACUGUUUCGGCAAGGGGGUCAUCCCGACUUACCAACCCGAUGCAAACUGCGAAUACCGGAGAAUGUUAUCACGGGAGACACACGGCGGGUGCUAACGUCCGUCGUGAAGAGGGAAACAACCCAGACCGCCAGCUAAGGUCCCAAAGUCAUGGUUAAGUGGGAAA